AUGUUUUUGAAGCUGGGGGAUAUGUAUACAAUUAGUAUCUUUAUUACAAACACAAUGCUGGUCGUGGUCACAGCAGCAGGCGUCGAGGUCUUCAUGGUGCCACCGCUCUCCUUUCGCCUCUCCGCCAAGUUGAGAGACGGUGCGACGAGAGCAAACCUGUCACCGGCCUUUAAGUCCGUCCGCUUUCACGCCGCCACGGUGGUCAACCUCGCCCCGAGCAUCGACUUCUUCAGAUGCGCGAUGGCAGAUGCCUCGCUCUCCCUCGGAAACACCAUGAUGGACACAAUCGACCUUGCCCUGCCCGCCGGCAUGGUCGCCAUCACAAGCAUCACCUUCCCGUCUAGCCCGCGCUCGCCGACCGCCUCCCACAACCCGCUCAACAACUACCCGGCUCCUGCUUCCAUGAAAAUGCAAUAUAUUUCAUAG
RNAcentral lists this ribosomal RNA (426 nucleotides) under Triticum aestivum (bread wheat). RNAcentral's name for it is "partial small subunit ribosomal RNA". Lineage: Eukaryota; Viridiplantae; Streptophyta; Magnoliopsida; Poales; Poaceae. The record is from RNAcentral.